GGCUUCAUAGUUCAACGGAUAGAAUAGAAGUUUCCUAAACUUUUGAUCCAAGUUCGAUUCUUGGUGAAGCCACUA
Molecule: transfer RNA, 75 nt
Filed under: Epilithonimonas hispanica
Lineage: Bacteria; Pseudomonadati; Bacteroidota; Flavobacteriia; Flavobacteriales; Weeksellaceae
Description: Chryseobacterium hispanicum tRNA-Arg
Rfam family: tRNA
About the family: Transfer RNA (tRNA) molecules are approximately 80 nucleotides in length. Their secondary structure includes four short double-helical elements and three loops (D, anti-codon, and T loops).
Source: RNAcentral